UAGAGUUGUGCCGAUUUUCGGCCUUAUCAUUCUGUGAUUGUACACUGGACGAUUCAAUGAGAUCGUGACACCACAUUUGUUGUUUGUAGAAUGACUGACACGUGAUUUCAUGUACACUCGUGAAAUCAAACGCGAAUAAAGAACAUAAAUUAAUGAAAGAGAAUCGACAUUGUCAUCUGGCUGUCCCAGUGGGCCGUUUCAGUGAAAAAGAAAGUAUAAAAAAAGACAAUGGGUGAGGUUCUCUGCUUUCAUGCUAUAAUUAUGGUCACCGGGUUUUAGUUAGAAUUGCAUAUAAAUGCGCCAUUCUGAUAGGCAAUCGUGGCAAACAAAUUAGAAGCAGCCAGCUCAAUCAAGUGUCCUAAAUCUCAAACAUGUGUCCCCCUGGCUUCAUGUUUUUUUUCAUGUACCGUUUUGUGUGAUUUAAAUGAAAGUUUUUAUUUAAUAUGUUUCAUAUUUAUGUUUUGAGUUUGCAGACACUACAUGUUGAUUGUGAGCAGUUAAAUGAUUGUAAGGAUAUGAUGCAAGAUAUUUUUUGAACAAAAAAUAAUUGUGACAAGCCUCGAAUAGCAUAUUUUUAAUUGCAACAAGAAUAAAUUGUAUAUAUAACAAUACAUAUUUGUCAACAGCAUAAAAUCAUAAAAGCCAUCUUCAUAUGUUUACUGGCAAAAUACAUAUAUAUAUAUUUUUUUAUGAAAUUUGCAGUUUUGAUGUACAACUAUUGAUUUCUGUGCUACAAUAAAAAAUAUUUUUGAAAAUUGUAAAUAGACAGUUAUGCUUAAUAGGCAGGCAUGCUUAGCCAAUAUAGUAUGUAGUAAUUUCAAAAAGUGAUUAAUGUGACUAUUUAACAUUGAAGUUUUUUAACAUAAGAGGGUAACACUUAACAUUAUGUUACUGAAUUGAUUUUCACAUGUUAAAUUUUCAUAUAUAAUAAUAUUAAAAUAUAUGUCAGUGAUCCUCAAAUCUGGCUUGCAAGAUCCACUUUCCCGCAGAAUUUAGCUCAGCCCUGAGUUUGCUAAUCAAUGUCUUGAGGAUCAUUAGAAAAUUACAAGUAGGAUUGUUUGAUUGUAGGAUUGAAGGUAAACUCUGGAAGGUAAAUUUGAGGAUUAUUGGUCUAUAUAGAGGGGUGAAACUGGGCGGUGCUCAUUCUUCUGUGUUUCUACAGCAGGUAAGUUUGUUCAGAGUUGGUCAUGGUUUUGCAAUUGUUUAUAUAUUUAUUUAUUUAUUUAUUUAUUUAUUUUAUUCUGGAGUAAAUGGGGUUUGAUAAAGUACUCUCAUAGCAUUAACAUGUUUUGUAUCAAAUUGAAAUUAUGUAGCUCAUGUUCACCAUUGUUUGUAGUAACCAUGUGAUUAAAAUGGUAGCUUGUUUGAACUCUUUUACACUAAUUUGAUGAUAACUUCUACUAAUGCUAGUGUAUUGUUUGAUAUGUAAUGUGAUUGUGCAGCUUAUUUGAGGGUAAUUUUAUGGUUAAUGUUAGGAAUUGGUUUCCUUAGGUAAAGUAGUGAUAGGAAUCAAUAACUUUAUACGAACCAAUUAGUUCAUUGUUACCACUCUCCAUUAUAUUUACUUGAAAUUUGUCUCUAGUGAAUUAGUAAAAAUAUUCCUGUAAUUGUAUUUAGCUACUUAUUUUGAUUUAUUUUGUGAAAGUGAAGGGUUUCAUUUGAAUAUAUAUAUACUAAAGAAUACUUUUCUUCUCUUUGUGCCGGUGAAUUGAUAAGAGUUUGAGUUGAGGUAACGCUUAUAAUUCUUGUAUAUGUAAAAUAAAAAAAAUUGAAUUUACUUUUUAAAUUUAUGAAAUUAAGUUCUUAAAAUGCCUAACUUAUCAUUCUCUUAUUUUGCAUGUGCUGAUACACUGGUAAAAGACAGAGUUGAGGUCCGUUAAACUUUUCGAACUUUAUUAAGAUGUAUUUAGAAUGUACUGCUGAAGUAAAUUUUUGAAUGUAUCACAAAGUGUAGCUGACAAGUAUAACUUUUGUCUUUUAUGUGUGGUGGUGCACUGGUUAAAGACUGUGAGCUGAGGUAAGGCAAGUUUUUGUAACUAUUGAAAAAUAACUUGCAAUAUACUGUGAAGUAAAUGUAUAACAAAGCAUGCCUGACUUUAUUUUUUUAUGUGUGGUGGUGCACUGGUUAAAGACUGCGAGCAGAGGUAAGGCAACUUUUGUAACCAUUAAAAACAAUUUAGAUCAUAGUGCUGAAGUAAGUGUUUAAUUGUAUAACAAAGCAUGGCUGACAAGUAUACCUUUUUUUUCUUUAAUGUGUGGUGGUGCACUGGUUAAAGACUGAGUUGUGUGAGUUGAGGUAAGGCAAUGUUUUGUAACCAUUUAAAAAAGAAUUUGGAAUGUACUGUGAAGUAAAUGUAUAACAAAGCAUGGCUGACAAGUAAACCUUUUUUCUUUUAUGCAUGGUCAUGCACUGGUUAAAGACUACAAGCUGAGGUAAGGCAACUUUUGUAACCAUUAAAAACAAUUUAGAACAGUGCUGAAGUAAGUGUUUAAUUGUAUAACAAAGCAUGGCUGGCAAGUAUACCUUUUUUUCAUUUGGGGUGGCACAUUGGUUAAAGACGGAGUUGAGACCGAGUUGAGACCGAGGUGACUGCGGCAGAGAGGCGGCGACUGCGGCAGAGAGUCGGCGGCAGAGAG
This is a long non-coding RNA of Carassius auratus (goldfish), 2637 nucleotides long. RefSeq lists it as uncharacterized. Lineage: Eukaryota; Metazoa; Chordata; Actinopteri; Cypriniformes; Cyprinidae. The record is from RefSeq and is a predicted model, not a curated record. The transcript is spliced from 3 exons.